This 1304-nucleotide ribosomal RNA is filed under the name Marinomonas gallaica. RNAcentral describes it as "bacterial LSU rRNA". It matches the Rfam family "Bacterial large subunit ribosomal RNA", at positions 1641 to 2925 of the family's 2925-position model. Lineage: Bacteria; Pseudomonadati; Pseudomonadota; Gammaproteobacteria; Oceanospirillales; Oceanospirillaceae. The record is from RNAcentral.
ACCGUACCCCAAACCGACACAGGUGGUCAGGUAGAGAAUACCAAGGCGCUUGAGAGAACUCGGGUGAAGGAACUAGGCAAAAUGGCACCGUAACUUCGGGAGAAGGUGCGCCGGCCGAUGUGAAGGACUUGCUCCGUAAGCAUCAGUCGGUCGAAGAUACCAGGUGGCUGCGACUGUUUAUUAAAAACACAGCACUCUGCAAACACGAAAGUGGACGUAUAGGGUGUGACGCCUGCCCGGUGCUUGAAGGUUAAUUGAUGGGGUUAGCGUAAGCGAAGCUCUUGAUCGAAGCCCAAGUAAACGGCGGCCGUAACUAUAACGGUCCUAAGGUAGCGAAAUUCCUUGUCGGGUAAGUUCCGACCUGCACGAAUGGCGUAACGAUGGCCACACUGUCUCCACCCGAGACUCAGUGAAAUUGAAAUCGCAGUGAAGAUGCUGUGUAUCCGCGGCUAGACGGAAAGACCCCGUGAACCUUUACUAUAGCUUCACAGUGAACUUUGAACCUACUUGUGUAGGAUAGGUGGGAGGCUUUGAAGUGAGGACGCCAGUUCUCAUGGAGCCAAUCUUGAAAUACCACCCUGGUAUGUUUGAGGUUCUAACUCAGAUCCGUUAUCCGGAUCGAGGACACUGUGUGGUGGGUAGUUUGACUGGGGCGGUCUCCUCCCAAAGAGUAACGGAGGAGCACGAAGGUGCGCUCAGCAUGGUCGGAAAUCAUGCAUAGAGUGUAAAGGCAAAAGCGCGCUUAACUGCGAGACAGACACGUCGAGCAGGUACGAAAGUAGGUCUUAGUGAUCCGGUGGUUCUGUAUGGAAGGGCCAUCGCUCAACGGAUAAAAGGUACUCCGGGGAUAACAGGCUGAUACCGCCCAAGAGUUCACAUCGACGGCGGUGUUUGGCACCUCGAUGUCGGCUCAUCACAUCCUGGGGCUGAAGCCGGUCCCAAGGGUAUGGCUGUUCGCCAUUUAAAGUGGUACGCGAGCUGGGUUUAGAACGUCGUGAGACAGUUCGGUCCCUAUCUGCCGUGGACGUUUGAGAUUUGAGAAGAGUUGCUCCUAGUACGAGAGGACCGGAGUGAACGAACCUCUGGUGUUCCGGUUGUCACGCCAGUGGCAUUGCCGGGUAGCUAUGUUCGGACGGGAUAACCGCUGAAAGCAUCUAAGCGGGAAGCCUCCUUCAAGAUAAGAUCUCACUGGCACUUAAAGUGCCCUAAAGAGCCGUUCGAGACUAGGACGUUGAUAGGUUGGGUGUGUAAGUGCUGUGAGGCAUUGAGCUAACCAAUACUAAUUGCUCGUGAGGCUUGACCAU